GCUUGCAUCGUCUAACGGUUAGGACGUAGGUCUCAUACUCACAGAGUAUGACCUGCUCAUCAGAGCAGGCUCUUCUACACAGGCAUCCUAAAAUCUGAGUUCGAUUCUCAGUGCGAGCA
This 119-nucleotide transfer RNA is filed under the name Cercospora zeae-maydis SCOH1-5. It matches the Rfam family "tRNA". Rfam says of the family: Transfer RNA (tRNA) molecules are approximately 80 nucleotides in length. Their secondary structure includes four short double-helical elements and three loops (D, anti-codon, and T loops). The record is from Rfam by way of RNAcentral. Lineage: Eukaryota; Fungi; Ascomycota; Dothideomycetes; Mycosphaerellales; Mycosphaerellaceae.